CGGAACGUCGGAAACUAUUUGAAAAACCUCAGGGAAAAAAUGAUGUUCCUGAAAAAAUAUUUGGUAAGUGUUUCUUACACCCUUUGCCCCAUAACCUUUUAAACAACUGCUAACAUUCCCUGCCUUUCUUUCUCUAUGCCAUCCAUUAGCUCAUCCUUCCUUUCUUCCAUAUUUAAGAUUUUUGAAUAUGAAGAAAAAAAUAAAAGUUCCCAUCUGAGCCGAAACGAAUCCGACUCAGAACCAUGAGGUUGCAGGUUCGAUCCCUGGCCUUUCUCGGUGGGUUAAGAAUCCGGGGUUGCCAUGAGCUGUGCUGUAAGUCACAGAUGUGGCUGGGAUCUGGCGGUUGCUUUGGCUCUGGCAUAGGCCAGCAGCAACAGCUACUAUUCGACCCCCUAGCCUGGGGACCUUCAUAUGCCACAGGCGCAGCCCUAAAAAGGACAAAAGACAAGAAAGAAAGAAGGAAAGAAAGAAAGGAAGAGAGAAAGAAAGAAAGAAAGAAAGAAAGAAAGAAAGAAAGAAAGAAAGAAAGAAAGAAAAAGAAAGAAAGAAAGAAAGGAGGGAGGGAGGGAGGGAGGAAGGAAGAAAGAUUUUGAAUACGGACUACUCCCAUAUUAAUUUCUUCCCUCUCUUUUGCCUAAUUCCAUCCCUUCCUAAUACUUGUUUUCCUUUACAUGCCUUUUCUUCUCUUUAAACAUAGGUGGAAAAACGAACAACAAAAAACACCUUUUAUGUCUCCAGAGAAUUGCCCUGCUUUAAUUAUGACUUUUGGAGGGAUAGCAGUGUUAGGCUGAUCACUACCUCCCUUCAAUUCUCUAUAUAUUUUCUUGCAAAUCACCAUAGAUGUAGAAUGUCUGUGACAUUUCAAAUUCAAGGGACAGUAAUUAAGCAACUGACACUGACCCACAACCUCUUUGGGUGGAAAGCUCCAAAUCUGCUAAAUAAAUGUCUUCCACCUUCUGCUCUUUCA
This 967-nucleotide long non-coding RNA is filed under the name Sus scrofa (pig). RNAcentral's name for it is "lncRNA (ENSSSCG00070009445.1)". Lineage: Eukaryota; Metazoa; Chordata; Mammalia; Artiodactyla; Suidae. The record is from RNAcentral.